This is a long non-coding RNA of Notolabrus celidotus (New Zealand spotty), 6306 nucleotides long. RefSeq lists it as uncharacterized. The transcript is spliced from 3 exons. NCBI's taxonomy places the organism in Eukaryota, Metazoa, Chordata, Actinopteri, Labriformes, Labridae. The record is from RefSeq and is a predicted model, not a curated record.
UCGCAGCCAUACGGGCUGUGCUCCCCCAGCUGAACUGUAUCUGCAUUUUAACGGUGGGAAGAAGAGACGCUAUAUGGCGAUUUGCUCCUCCCUCCGCCCUGCCAACCUCAUCUGUCAGCCAUUAGUUAAUCAGGGCUGGUAAUGCAGAGCGCACAGAGAGCUGGCACCGCUCGUGGGACCAGAGGACAGCUUCACCUCUGAGAGCAAAGAGAGGGCAAGGACUCAGGGACCUCUGCUGCACUGAGCUACAGCUGGGCGGCUUCAAUCACCAGCACCCACUCAGGCGGUAGCUUCACGAUGACCACACCCACUUCUUUGCUGUGAACAGGGAGGUUUCACAGACAGAAGUCAAAACAACACAUGUUGUCAACAUGGGAGCAGCUGGUAAGAACGGCGUCAUGGGGCAGAGGAAUGUCAAGAGUCAUAGAUCUUUUAUCCAUCAGGCUGAAAUAACCACCCAGUAACCAGGCACAGUAAGAGCAACGUGAAAUCUGAAUAUUUAUAUAUUUAACUUCUCUAAUGUUAAUCUUAACCAGCUAACUUAAUCCAUAUUCAAUAGAUAAUAGAAAUCACACAAGAAAUAUUUUAAAUUCAGUGAUGUGCAAAAUAGAAGUGCAGUUGUAAUAGUGGCGUAUACUCCAGUGAUUGAUUUCAGAUGUGACAAGUUGGUUUUGCUGUAUUAUUCACUGCAGGAUGGGACUGAUUGUAAGAUGUGGAAAUAAUUUCCUGUCUCUGUCACUUCAGUUCCUGACAGACAGUCAGCUGCAGCUCACUUCUGAUUGGCUACAACUACACAGUGUAUUCUGCUCUCCAUGCCAGAGUAUAACUUUGCCAUCUUUAAAGAGUUAAAUAAACACAGGGUUCAGUGGGCAUAUACAGUUUCCUCGACAGGGUUUCCUUUUUAAGUCAACACCACUCAGUAAGGAUACACCGAGCAACCAUAAGUCAAAACCGAAUGACAAAACAGCCACGUUUUUUUUCCGUCUGUGUAAACAUUCCUCUGAGGGCUUUUUCCAUUACUGUGUUAACCUGAAUACUUAAGCCUGUUCACAUCCAUAUUCUACUACAGGUGGAGAAAAUCAGGCACAACUAGAGGAAAGAGGGAAAAAAGCAAAUUCUCAAUGACAGAACGUGAUAAAUACAAACAGCAGUCGAGCUGUGAAGUUAUAAAGUAUCGACCUUUGACACGGGACAUUCAAACCUAACUCCUUCUUCCUGUUAAACAGCUGCUUUUCUAAUCUGUCAUAGCAAACAGCUUGCCACAGCUUGCAUACAGGGAGGUAUGGAAAAGCUCAAGCAUGGAAGAGCAUGACCUUGCAUUUAUUUCUACAAAAAAACAAAAGCAGAGAAUUGUAAAGCAAGUGAUGUAAGAAAAAGAAAAUAACAAUCAUACAUUAUUUUUUCAGUCCAAAAAAGGGGGAAACUGAGGAAAAUCAACAUCUGCUAAGCAUGUGUCCCAUUACUAUAUAUCUACAGGCAGAGGACUCAUUUUCUAUCACAUCUUUAAAAGGAAAUCUCAGCUUUUUCCAAUGUGGUAAUAGCUUUUAAUUGCUUCUUACUGUCUGCAACAUCAAACAUCAAAAACUAAGUUUUUGGUAUGACCGAGCACUUAACAAACCAGGCGCGUUCCUCUAGUUUUUCAUUGAUUCAAGACCAUACAAUAAACUGAGUUAUCAAGAAAGUAACUGGCAGAUUUAGAGGCAAUAUUAAGCAUUGUUACUUCCUGCCCUCAUAUAAUAUAUGGCGCUCAAAGCCUCAAAGCUGAAAUUUUGCUUUAGAUGUUGGCAGGGGUGUGUCAAGACUUGUUUAACAGGGGUGGCCCAACUGGGGUACUGACUUAUGCAUGGAACGGAAUGAAGUUCUGUAAGUGUAAACUCAAACAUACACACAAAAAUAAAUACAAAUUGACCCUUUCUGUCUCCGCCAAUCAUUUCUACUUAAAGUACUAACACUGAUAUGUCAUACAGAUGUUGAAAUUCUCUGCACAUUUUUAUACUCAACAAUAUUUGUAUUAGUAUUUUAUACAGCCUAAUACAGUACAGUGAGCUCUUCGAAAGAGCGAAAGAUAUAGAAAAGAAAAACAGGAACCCCCUCCCUCGUUCCAUCAAAUCCCUCACUACUGCUGGAUAUUCAUGUCACUGUGUUUAAAUAUCAUCUUCUGGAGUUACUGGACAAAUAAGAGUUAAAAAAUAGUUUAAAAAAUAUGCAGAGAAAUUCUCUGCAUAUUUUUUUAACUAUAAAACUUUUAAACAGGAUGACAAUGUAUAAAUAUUUUAAAUUAAAUGUUUUAGGAAUUUAAAAAAAGGUUUGUUGGUUUGAAAUAAUACUUCAAAGUUCAUAAAAAAUUGCAAGCAAACUUCACACAAAACAUCAAAACUAUAUUAAUUGGAAAUGUUGCAGUACAGACUGUUUGUUUGCAGUCUCUUUUAAGCUUGUUUUAUGAAAUAUAUUUGUAAAGUACUUUAUGCAAUUUGAAGCACCUUACAAAAGACAAUGUGCUACAUUUAAAUGGAAAGAAAGCUACCUACUAUGCAGUUAUAGUUGAUUUUAACACAAGUCUCAUCUCUGAAGAGAGAAAUAAUCAAAGUCUAGGAUUUUGAGCUGACCAGAUUUUAAGGGGGCCCAUGAUGCCCCUCUGGACACGCCCCUGAAUGUUGGCACAGUUUAGUGUUUCUUGAAGAAUAACUUCUAACAUACUGGGAUUUCCUCACAUCUGUUGACCAGUAGUCCUGCUAACAUCUAAAGACACAGAUUAGAUGUGUAGCUUAGGAGCAUGGAAAGUACAGUACAUGCACGCCGAUACAACAAUAGGGGUACAGGCUAAAUCUGUAACCCUCUGCAGUGCUGUUAAAAUAUCCCCCACUCAUAUAUGUUGAAGUGUCAAUGAAGAACAAUUAACUCUCUGCUUCCCCAGCACCCAAUCUAUCACUGUCCAACCCAUGAGAGGGGAAAAAAGCUUUUUCACUUGGAUGUCAAGUCCCGCAAACUCCAUUUCACUCCAUCAACUCGAUAGCACUGACAGGCCCGAACAGGCACCGGCCCCUUCAAGUCUGACGUCCCACAUGAGGGAAAAAAAUACACUUGAGCAGAGUCUAAGAAGCGACUCCUAGAGGCUUAAAACCACUUUAUAUUACUUGACCGACAAGUUGAGGGAAAGCAGGCGCUCUCCACCUGAGUCAAAGUGAGGCCACGUUCACCGUCAUUAGAUGAAACCAACCUAAAUGCUUCCAGACUUUCACGCCCUGUCACCUCUCAUUUCAUCUCACGGCAUCUGCAACCACCUUAGAUCAGCGUGAUAAUAACAUCUACUAUUUUACAGGCUCCUCUAUUAUUUUCUUCCAAUAACUCUUCAACAAUGUCGUUGGGCGUCAACAAAAAUCCAUCUGGGGGAUUGACCUGUUACCUCAAAAUCUGCCUCUAACUUGGACAGAUUAAAAGAUUCAACAUUUUCAAGCUCUUGUACAAUCCUCAGAUGAUUUGGCCUCAUUGACGUUACACCAUGAAACAGGAAGUUCUAUUUUGAGGGAUUCAGGAUAGCAAAAAAGUUGCCAAACUUGGUGCAUGUGUCCCAAGUGGGGUUCUUAGAACUUUAAUAUGGGUUUGGGUUUCAAGAAAAAUGGUGUCAAAUGUGAAAGCUUCCUGAAGGCAGACCAUAAACCCAUCAGAAUGUCAGCCAUAUUGGAUUUUUGGUAAGGAUCAGUGCAGUUUUAGCCAUUCCUGUUGGUUAUAAUUUACCAAAUGUCAUCUUAGUUGUUUAUCCAACCCCCUAAGACUUAGCUUGUUUAAAGAAAAGUGAUUCAACUGCUUCCUAAGAUAGAUUGCAUUUUGAGGAUGUUUUUCAUUUGCUAUUAAAGACAAUCUGCAUUACAGUGUGCAUAUGUUGAGCCUAUGUUCAUGUUGUCCAACUCCUUGCCCUGAAAGAGAUUUCCAUUGCCAAUGUGAAAGGCGUGCUCUGAUCCAAACAUUUUGAAUCUUCAGAUAACAUCUCACAGCAUCUGGUUUUCUGCUUUCCAGGUCUUAAUGCUUUGCCAAACUCUGUGGGCCACAGUGCUUGACUUUUAACCAGCAAAUCAUCAACUCAACUAUUUUGCUCUUUUCUCAAAGGCCAAAAUGAAACAUUAUCUCCUGACUCAGAUUUAAAUCAAAGCCGUGACAAGGACCAUGCUUGUGAGGACCAGCGUGGGGGAAGGGGGAGGGGACCUUCCAGCCGUCGCGUCGAUUGCUAACACUCGACUCGCAUAUGGGCAGGAUCAGGAAACACAAGCCCAGUGAUGUCACGACCGAAUGACCUCAGGGUGACAGGUUUGGAGAAUGUUCUUGCCCAGUGCCCUCAGGCCAAAGUCAAGUAUGUCAAUGUGUGCAUGUGGAUUUCAUUUGAAGUUGCAUGAUUAGUUCACAGACGCUCAACUGAGAUCCCCUCCAUGGGAAACCCUCUCUCCACAGGAAACGGUAUGUUUUUGUUAGCAAAAAAACAGACAUAAAUUACUAAAAUGGUGCUUUGGUUGCCAAUUUAUCACACACAGCCUCAUUGUUGCUGCUUGUUCACAUUUGACAUCAACAUUGCUUUUCAGGAAACCAUCAUUAGUUAAUGAUAUUUACAUUCCUGUUAGUUUGUGUUGAACUGUGUGUCUGCAAAGCUGAAUUUGUGCAAUAAAACUAAUAAUUGUUUUGUGUCUUCUCUUUAAUACAUAUGAAAAUGUGUUUAUUUAAAUGAAGGAAAAACAGAUGCUGUUAAUGUUUAAGGGCAAAUUAAGUGUUGAUUUUAUUUAAUUUUGAAAAGUCUUGCUGGUAUUGACUCCUCCUGAACAAAUGUAAAUCAGAAAAAUUAACAUCGGUCAAUUUGAAAGUAUAGCCUAGUAAAUAAAUAGAUUACAGUGUAAGAAGGACUUCAGUUAAAAAGUCUUUCCUCUGAAAGGUGAGAAAUCUAAAUAUUGAAUAAAUGACGGUGGUAAAAUCGAUGGAUUGAUUUUAACAAGAUUUUCAAACAGGGAUUAAACAGUAUUCAACAUAUAGGGGUGUAUGAGGGGAAAUGUGGAGCACAUACUUUCCUGAGAGUGUAUUUGACAUGACUCAAAAAAUAAAUGACAGAAACACAUGUAUUUCAUCCACGACUUAACAUUUCUGACUGAUGUGUUUGAUACUGCUGGGGCAACACAUACUAAAUAUUAUUUCUAAGUGUAUAAAUAUACAUUUUUGGGACACUACAGACUGAGAGGCCACUUCUUGAGGUAAGACACUUUGAGGAAUAGAAACUAUUUUGACAAUGUUUACAUAAUACAAGAACCCACAGGCAUAUUUUAACCCACUCUGGAUCUAACAGAACACCCAACUCCUUAAAACUGUCAUUACAUGAGAACAGAAUUUACUGAUGGGUUGUAGGAACUGGUUAACAAUAUUGAAAAUGGUAUUAGGGCCAAUGACAUAAUGGGAGUCAUUAUGAUUUGAGGGUAGUUGCAUAUGGGGUUUUAUCUUGUGGUCUAAGUAGAUACAUUGAGAGCAGCAUUUGUAGAUGCUCACGUGCAGCACAGUAGUUUAUAGAGAGAUAAAUUUGAUGGAUGCCAAGCUGCAGUUAGCUAAUUAAAGGUUUUCUAUCAUCUAUCUUGAGUUGAAUCCUGUGUGAAACUGCUUUCUAAAAUUACUUUAUUCGAAGACACUACUUAACAUCAAUGCUUUAUAAAUUAUUUAUGUGUUUUCCUUCAGAAAAAGAAAGAAGGGGAAUAUCAAAGCAGCCGUUCUCUCUAAAUAUUGGCCUUGCAGGGUAAGAUUUUGGAUCUCCGAAACUACACAACCCUUUCCAGCAUGAAUUAAAACCAAUUAUUGUUGCAGUAAAAGUAAUACUCAAGCAGUCUCCUGCCAAACACUUUACAGUGCGCUCCAUUAAUGCAAUGGUAAACAGAUGUGCCACCCAGCGCUUGAGUUUGAUUUGGACUGUGAAUGUUUUCUCCAGGGAUAUCACAAAAUAAAUGUUUAAACUGCCUGCAGGGUUUUUACACUUCACUAUACUGAAGUAUGUGAGUCUUACAGUUACUACAGCAGGCUCUCAAAGAUGUGAAUUACUAUAAGGAUUACUGAAGAAGGCAGUUUAACAGAGUCCACUGAGAGUCAAAUAUGUAAACACAACAGAAUGACCCACGUGUAAAGUCUUUUUAUGGGCUAUCUACUCUCACCACACACCAUAUACUGCAUACAUAUACUGCAUGUGAAUUCUAUUUUAAUGCACUCGAGGCUGAUGUAUAAGAAGAAACAAUGUGCGUGUCUAAAUGUUCUCCUGUUAAUACAAUAAAGUUUAUAUUUCAUGUUUCACUA